UUAUUUUUGGAUUUCAUUGUACCAAAUGACCAUAUUUUUGUUGUUGCAGAGUGCUUAGAACUCAAGAUAUUAACAUUGUUUCUUUUGACUUUAGUAUUAAGGUAACUUUUACUGACAAUGUGCUUUUGGAUGAUGUGACAAAGCUAUUGAUGAAAAAUGGCAUACCUAACACUGCAUUGAAGUAGAUUGGACAUUUUUGCUUUGGGUUAGUUUUUGUCUAAACUAAAAAUGUUUAUUUGUACGGUCUCACCUUUCAAAAUAGCCAAUAGAUACAUUAUUAUGGCUAUUUGUUAGCUAUAAUUAUUUUCUGCCUUGAUGAAGUCUUUUAA
This is a long non-coding RNA of Ipomoea nil (Japanese morning glory), 329 nucleotides long. RefSeq lists it as uncharacterized. NCBI's taxonomy places the organism in Eukaryota, Viridiplantae, Streptophyta, Magnoliopsida, Solanales, Convolvulaceae. The transcript is spliced from 3 exons. The record is from RefSeq and is a predicted model, not a curated record.